CAGGAAGUUGUUGCAAAGCUUAUUUAGUUAAUGCAUAUUGUGCAAUUCAGGACCCUCGGAUUUGUCUGUGGGUUUCCAAGCUUAAUAUAUUAAUAUUAUGUCAUAUUAAUAUGUGAUUAUUUAUGUUGAUAUACUUUUAUCUGACUAGUGUGGUUCACAUCAGUAGCAAGCGAGCUGCAGGAUUUGUAGCCAGCCUGUCAUUUCUAAGACCAGAUUUGAUUCAUGGUCUCAUUUCCUGUUUUUCCUCCCACUGCUCACAGCUCCUUUUUUCCUUCUCCAUGGUCCAUUUAUUAAAUGUAGAGUUAGAAACACAAUUAGAAUUUACUCAAGUCUGAAUAUGAAUAUCUGAAUAUCUGAAUACGAAAUCUUUGGAACAAUAAAAAUUCUUUUCCAAACCUGUCUUAUCUAGCUUGCCUGUUCAGAUGAUGAGCUUGGCCUUCCCUACUGACUGAAUAAAUGAGAAAGAAGCAUGAUUCCAUCAAUUCCAAGCAAGGACAGUAGGAGAAAUUCUGAAAUUACCAAACACUGCUAUAAGACCUGCAAGUGCAAAAGCACAAUGUUAGGGACACUGUUGUCAGGGGCAGAGAAAUUCCUGCAUCUCUUCAGCCCUGGGUGCUGCUGAGAUGGAAGAGAGGAGAGAGGAGUGUUUUAUUCCCUUUGGAAAAUCAGGGGGAGAAGUUUCUCCAGCACACGGCUCAAAGCACUUAGCUUCUCAGCACUGCCCUUGGGGAACCAGUCUGUUUCUGCUGCCUGUAGAGAUGGGCAGACAAGUUGGCCAAGGUAAAUACCCACCUCACUGGACUCUUUGGUAUUUAGAUACAUGUAUAAGAACAGUAUUAUACAAAAUAACAUCUAAACAAUACUUCUCUAACUCACUAUCAGUGCAGCAAACAGGAAUGCUGUUCUUCCCCCUCCUCCUCCUCAUUUCAUUUGUACAACUGCCACCCUGGGUAUUGUAA
RNAcentral lists this long non-coding RNA (959 nucleotides) under Meleagris gallopavo (turkey). Its description in RNAcentral is "lncRNA (ENSMGAG00000022932.1)". The record is from RNAcentral. Lineage: Eukaryota; Metazoa; Chordata; Aves; Galliformes; Phasianidae.